CUGCCUUGCUGAACAGACCCGUGGACACUCUUUGAUUUGAAUAUGAGCUACAGGGUCGAGUGAGAGGCUGAUCUAAAAAUACAUGCCUGCAUGCUUGAGGCUACAAUGUGUACAUAAAUCCAAACCCACAGAAGAAAGUGGUUGUAUUCAGGAGCAAAGGAGACCACAGAACUGAGCUGAAGGAUCCCUUCCAGGAGGUUUAUGGAACAGUGAAGUCAAAUGAAGCAGAGGACAGCUGAGGAACCG
Molecule: long non-coding RNA, 246 nt
Organism: Mus caroli (Ryukyu mouse)
Lineage: Eukaryota; Metazoa; Chordata; Mammalia; Rodentia; Muridae
Source: RefSeq, a predicted model, not a curated record